UACGUAGGUGGCAAGCGUUGUCCGGAAUUAUUGGGCGUAAAGCGCGCGCAGGCGGUCCUUUAAGUCUGAUGUGAAAGCCCACGGCUCAACCGUGGAGGGUCAUUGGAAACUGGGGGACUUGAGUGCAGAAGAGGAAAGCGGAAUUCCACGUGUAGCGGUGAAAUGCGUAGAGAUGUGGAGGAACACCGGUGGCGAAGGCGGCAUCCUGGACCGAUACUGACGCUGAGGAGCGAAAGCCAGGGGAGCAAACGGG
Molecule: ribosomal RNA, 253 nt
Filed under: uncultured bacterium
Lineage: Bacteria
Description: partial 16S ribosomal RNA
Rfam family: Bacterial small subunit ribosomal RNA
Source: RNAcentral